RNAcentral lists this long non-coding RNA (686 nucleotides) under Nicotiana benthamiana. RNAcentral describes it as "long non-coding RNA (NBEN_LNC040992)". The record is from RNAcentral. Lineage: Eukaryota; Viridiplantae; Streptophyta; Magnoliopsida; Solanales; Solanaceae.
CCUUGUAUCCCCUUCGUCUCUCAAAUGCUCUCAACCCUUGUCUGAAACCCUAGCCCCAUUUCACAAGUCUCCGACCUUAUUUCACCGGAAACCAUGGCUUCUCAGAUUCUGAGUAGCCUGUACUUACCCCCACAUACCUCUAUACUCCUUUUGCUCGAGGUUUUAGAGUCCGACCUUGAAGAUCUUGACUCAAAAUCUCUCUGAUUCAGUUUCUACGCCCAUUUCCGGCUCAUCUCUGGCGAGUCCUAGCCCAGUGAGUCCAUCUCCGACUCAGGACCAGCCCGUUCCAGGCCUUUCUCAUUUUUCUUGGGUUUUCUCUGAAACCUAUGCCCUCGAGGUUUUCUUUAUUUCUCUCUAAGAUCUACUUUAGAUUCGUGCUAUUUUCUAAGAUUUUAAAGUAUUUUCCACACUUUUUUCGAUUUUUGCUUUCAAAACUUUUCAUCUUCUCAAAACUUAGGGUUUCUGUAAUUUCUACAUGUUCUAUUGUGAUUUCUUACUUUAUUUGGCUUUGCUGUAAACUCUAAGUGUUUUCACUAUGAUUUCUAGUUAUUUUCUUUACUCUGUUUCUUCCUAGGGAUUCCGAGUAGUUUCUUUACUGUCUUUUUAUUUACUUAAGUUUCCAUGAAUGUUUUGGGUUCUUUGGACUUCCUGAGUUUAUUUUUUGCCUGAUUUUAUAUGCUUUCGAC